UGCAGAAGAGUCCUGUGGAGUUUGAUGAGGAGAAGAGGCUCACAUUGUUAUAGGAGUCACCCUCAGAACCCAUCUGCCUGGGCAGAGACUGGCUAUGUGGCUUCCCUGCUCAUCUCCUGGUGCCUGACCUCACAGGCUGGAGUGGUGUGAUUGACUUGGUGCUGGAUAACCCUUCCAGGGUGGCGUGGAGCUGAAGGAUCCACCAGUUUCCAGUACAGAAGGGCUUCAAGCUUGAGAUUGGGGUAGUGGUGGUGGGAGCGGGAGUCCACAUGUCGUUUCCUUCACUGGCAACUGCAAACAGGGAAGAGAAGGUGGUUAAUGAGGCAGUCACAGGAAUGGACUGGUAAUGGUGAACACAUGCACCCCAGCUUUGUGGCAGAGGCCAGCUAAGAGACCCCUUGCCUCCAUCCAAGUUGGAGGCUAGCAAAGCUUGACCAGUGUGGAGACAGCACUUGGGGAUGUACUGUAGACUUUUGGAAUGGGAAACACCAAUACACUGUCAUCCAGGCACAGUCUGCUCAAGGAGGUGCUAUGAGGGCAUCGACCACGUCUUGUUUAUGUCAGUUGUGUAGGUACAACUAUUUGUGAUGUGGGUUUAAACAGCUCAGCAGAUAACACAGUUAAUUUUUGCGAGACUGUUUUUAACCCCAUCAGUUUACUAAAGAAAACAGGGACUGCCUCUUGCCUUAAAUUGUCAUUUUCAAAACUGCUGUCCUUUGGAGAGCCCAGUUCAGGCCGUCAGUCCAACAUGCACAUCCCCAACAGUAGAGCUCAGCUAUCACUCUUGCUGCUAACAAGGUAGAGCAGAGGCUGGCUUUCUCUCAGCGUGCUGGUGGCAUAUGCUUGCUUUAAAGAGCAACAUCAGCACAUCUUUUGACUGGUGAGAUAGAACUUGUGGAUGCUGUGGUGUACCUAAGCGGCCAGCAACUUUUCUAGAUUAAGUGGAAAGGACAACCAGUUCUCUGGCGGCAGGAUUUCCUGUGAGAGGUUCUGUGCUCCAUGUUAUGCAGGAAAUUGCCCCUGACCUUAAAAAUCAGUGACUGGUGGGUUAUAGAAAAAUUACCUACAACAAUGGCCUGAUUUCUCUCAACCUGUAUGAAACUGGACCAAAAGAGAAGAAAAUACAGUGAAAAACCUAGGUGUGCACAGGACCCAAGUGUUCAGUGUUUUAUAAGGCAAGUCUCAGCAACACCACCCAGGAUUUCCUCCCAGAUAUUUUGAGGCUUUUUUUUAAAAAAAAAAAUCCUUUGUCUAAAAGCUACUGAUAAAUAAUAACGUGUUGAGUCCACACCCAGCCCAGAGACUGCAAGGUACAGGCAGGCCUGUCAUAUCCUUAGCCUACACCAGAAUAUACUCCUCUCUGUGGAAAUAACACGUCUGCUGUACUAGAGAUUGUAUUAAAUCUUUUCCCUGAAAGAC
Molecule: long non-coding RNA, 1419 nt
Organism: Aquila chrysaetos chrysaetos
Lineage: Eukaryota; Metazoa; Chordata; Aves; Accipitriformes; Accipitridae
Exons: 2
Source: RefSeq, a predicted model, not a curated record